GAAAUUCUGAUCUGGGAUUGCUGUUUUACGACUAAAUUUGAUCUGUAGUGAAGGAUAACUUUUCGAGUUAAUACAAAAAGGGAGAUUUUUCUUAUCAUUGCUCACAAAAUUCUAUAUUUUUCGAUUAUGGAAAACCCAGUUUUCAGAAUUUUAAUUUAAAUUCCCCAACAAGUUAGGAAAAACAGGGUAGAAAAAUGAAAUCCUUUUGGCAUUGAACUUGUGCAAAAGUUACUUUAGAA
RNAcentral lists this unclassified non-coding RNA (239 nucleotides) under Hevea brasiliensis (rubber tree). The record is from RNAcentral. Lineage: Eukaryota; Viridiplantae; Streptophyta; Magnoliopsida; Malpighiales; Euphorbiaceae.